Molecule: ribosomal RNA, 460 nt
Filed under: uncultured bacterium
Lineage: Bacteria
Description: partial 16S ribosomal RNA
Rfam family: Bacterial small subunit ribosomal RNA
Source: RNAcentral
CCUACGGGGGGCAGCAGUGAGGAAUAUUGGUCAAUGGACGAGAGUCUGAACCAGCCAAGUAGCGUGAAGGAUGACUGCCCUAUGGGUUGUAAACUUCUUUUAUAUGGGAAUAAAAUGUUCCACGUGUGGGAUUUUGUAUGUACCAUAUGAAUAAGGAUCGGCUAACUCCGUGCCAGCAGCCGCGGUAAUACGGAGGAUCCGCGCGUUAUCCGGAUUUAUUGGGUUUAAAGGGAGCGUAGGUGGAUUGUUAAGUCAGUUGUGAAAGUUUGCGGCUCAACCGUAAAAUUGCAGUUGAAACUGGCAGUCUUGAGUACAGUAGAGGUGGGCGGAAUUCGUGGUGUAGCGGUGAAAUGCUUAGAUAUCACGAAGAACUCCGAUUGCGAAGGCAGUUCACUGGACUGCAACUGACACUGAGGCUCGAAAGUGUGGGUAUCAAACAGGAUUAGAUACCCUUGUAGUC